GCAGCAGCCGCGGUAAUACGUAGGUCCCGAGCGUUGUCCGGAUUUAUUGGGCGUAAAGCGAGCGCAGGCGGUUAGAUAAGUCUGAAGUUAAAGGCUGUGGCUUAACCAUAGUACGCUUUGGAAACUGUUUAACUUGAGUGCAAGAGGGGAGAGUGGAAUUCCAUGUGUAGCGGUGAAAUGCGUAGAUAUAUGGAGGAACACCGGUGGCGAAAGCGGCUCUCUGGCUUGUAACUGACGCUGAGGCUCGAAAGCGUGGGGAGCAAACAGGAUUAGAUACCCGCGUAGUCCCUGUCUCUUAUACA
Molecule: ribosomal RNA, 302 nt
Filed under: uncultured bacterium
Lineage: Bacteria
Description: partial 16S ribosomal RNA
Rfam family: Bacterial small subunit ribosomal RNA
Source: RNAcentral